GACGAACGCUGGCGGUGUGCCUAACACAUGCAAGUCGAACGGAACUAAUUUGACUGAUUCCUUCGGGAUGAAGAAUUUUUAGUUUAGUGGCGGACGGGUGAGUAACGCGUGAGUAACCUGCCUCUGAGAGGGGAAUAACGUUCUGAAAAGAACGCUAAUACCGCAUAACACAUACUUGCCGCAUGACAGAUAUGUCAAAGAUUUUAUCGCUCGGAGAUGGACUCGCGUCCGAUUAGUUAGUUGGUGAGGUAACGGCUCACCAAGACCGCGAUCGGUAGCCGGACUGAGAGGUUGAACGGCCACAUUGGGACUGAGACACGGCCCAG
This 326-nucleotide ribosomal RNA is filed under the name uncultured bacterium. RNAcentral describes it as "bacterial SSU rRNA". It matches the Rfam family "Bacterial small subunit ribosomal RNA", at positions 28 to 334 of the family's 1533-position model. The record is from RNAcentral.